This 167-nucleotide ribosomal RNA is filed under the name uncultured bacterium. RNAcentral describes it as "partial 16S ribosomal RNA". It matches the Rfam family "Bacterial small subunit ribosomal RNA", at positions 340 to 524 of the family's 1533-position model. The record is from RNAcentral.
UACGGGAGGCAGCAGUGGGGAAUAUUGGACAAUGGGCGCAAGCCUGAUCCAGCAAUGCCGCGUGAGUGAUGAAGGCCUUAGGGUUGUAAAGCUCUUUUACCAGGGAUGAUAAUGACAGUACCUGGAGAAUAAGCUCCGGCUAACUCCGUGCCAGCAGCCGCGGUAAU